This 668-nucleotide long non-coding RNA is filed under the name Bemisia tabaci. Its description in RNAcentral is "lncRNA ENSSSA3NGG012380". Lineage: Eukaryota; Metazoa; Arthropoda; Insecta; Hemiptera; Aleyrodidae. The record is from RNAcentral.
UGCGGAUAGAACUAAGAUGAACUCAUUUGACAGUGCUGUCAUAGUAUUUUAUUUUUAGUGGUUGCGUUUUGUCUUUUUAGGUGGUUGCUGGAUGGUUAUAUACGCUGAAACUACGAAUAGCAGACUCGAAAACAGAUUCCAGAAUAUGUGAUGUGAAAGUCUGGGUUCAACAUUCCGUCACAGAUGAUAUCAAAGAAGUUGACGCUUCCUGCGAGGAUAAACCGUCUAGAAGGAGCAAGCGGCGAUCAUUAUUCAUCGGUGGUAUAAAAGAAUUGAAACCAGACCAUGACGACGCAUUGAAGUACGCCAUGUUUUCGGUUCCCUUCCUGGGUCCUUCUUUGGCUCCGAAGAGCGACUGAAAUUGAUUGAGGUGGUUAAAGCCUAUUCUCAGCGUUCAGUAGGGUCCAUUAAAUCACUUUCUACAAAUACAGAGGACUUGCACAAGGCAGCUGAAAACAUCCCGCAAAAGAAACCGAAAGGAGUAAAUGCUCUUGAAUUCUACAAGCAGGUAAUCUGAUUUCUAAUCUGAUAUGAGGCGUAUUUAAACCUGGUAAAAUCUCCAAAAAAUGUAACUCAGAUUAGGUCAGUGCACUGCCGCACGGAAGAACGCCGUAUGAGCGUUGAGACAUUGCCAAACUUCUUCUGAUAAAAAACAGGUUUGCGAGAAA